Molecule: microRNA precursor, 69 nt
Filed under: Belgica antarctica
Lineage: Eukaryota; Metazoa; Arthropoda; Insecta; Diptera; Chironomidae
Description: mir-2 microRNA precursor
Rfam family: mir-2 microRNA precursor family
About the family: The miRNAs are transcribed as ~70nt precursors (modelled here) and subsequently processed by the Dicer enzyme to give a ~22nt product. In this case the mature sequence comes from the 3' arm of the precursor.
Source: RNAcentral
CAGCUCGCAAAGUGGUUGUGAGAUGUUGAGAUUAAUAUUUCAUAUCACAGCCAGCUUUGAUGAGCUAAA